UCCGGCUUAUCACCGGCGGUUUCUUUAGAGUGCCCAACUGAAUGAUGGCAACUAAAGACGAGGGUUGCGCUCGUUGCGGGACUUAACCCAACAUCUCACGACACGAGCUGACGACAGCCAUGCAGCACCUGUGUCCAGGUCCCGUAAGGGAAGGAAUCCAUCUCUGGAAACCGUCCUGGCAUGUCAAACGCUGGUAAGGUUCUGCGCGUUGCGUCGAAUUAAACCACAUGCUCCACCGCUUGUGCAGGCCCCCGUCAAUUUCUUUGAGUUUUAAUCUUGCGACCGUACUUCCCAGGCGGCGUAUUUAUCGCGUUUGCUACGCCACAAAAGGGGUCGAUUCCUUUUACAGCAAAUACGCACCGUUUACGGCUAGGACUAC
Molecule: unclassified non-coding RNA, 379 nt
Filed under: uncultured bacterium
Lineage: Bacteria
Description: contains 16S-23S intergenic spacer region
Source: RNAcentral